RNAcentral lists this ribosomal RNA (432 nucleotides) under uncultured bacterium. Its description in RNAcentral is "partial 16S ribosomal RNA". It matches the Rfam family "Bacterial small subunit ribosomal RNA", at positions 29 to 506 of the family's 1533-position model. The record is from RNAcentral.
AACGAACGCUGGCGGCAGGCUUAACACAUGCAAGUCGAGCGCAUCCUUCGGGGUGAGCGGCGGACGGGUGAGUAACGCGUGGGAACGUGCCCUCUUCUACGGAAUAGCCUCGGGAAACUGAGAGUAAUGCCGUAUACGCCCGCAAGGGGAAAGAUUUAUCGGAGGAGGAUCGGCCCGCGUUGGAUUAGGUAGUUGGUGGGGUAACGGCCUACCAAGCCGACGAUCCAUAGCUGGUUUGAGAGGAUGAUCAGCCACACUGGGACUGAGACACGGCCCAGACUCCUACGGGAGGCAGAAGGGGGGAAUUUUGGAAAAUGGGGGCAACCCUGUUCCAGCCAUGCCGGGUGAUCGAUGAAGGCCUUAGGUUUGUAAAGAUCUUUCAGCUGGGAAGAUAAUGACGGUACCAGCAGAAGAAGCCCCGGCUAACCCCGU